Molecule: non-coding RNA, 574 nt
Organism: Kogia breviceps (pygmy sperm whale)
Lineage: Eukaryota; Metazoa; Chordata; Mammalia; Artiodactyla; Physeteridae
Source: RefSeq, a predicted model, not a curated record
CGGCCCUACCCGCGAGCUAUCGUCUGGCCUCUGGCGGAGGCCUUGGAGGCUGGGCCAUUGAGCAGCUUGUCUGAGUUUUGAGUCGGACCAGUAAUCAUUUUUCCCUGGGGUCGCGUUGCUGGUUGCCGCAGGCUUGCCGACAUGGAUUCAAGGAGUGCAGAUUAAGAGAAAUUUUUUGUAUUGGAUCACUGGCAAGUUGGGUCAGUGAAAAAGGGAAAGAAAAAGAAGGAAAGGAAAAAGAAAAGUGUUGGAAAAAGAAAAGCAUUGGAAUAAGGAGCAGGAAGAGAAAGAUGAAGAGACAAACAUGAGAGAAAAGAAUGAUCAGUGGGCUGCUGAGUUGGAAACAGACUGUAGGGGGGGCCUGGAAGAAGCAGAGUAACCUGUUAGGAGGCUCCCGCAGAAUCCAAAUGAGAGUUGACGGUGACUCAAACAGCUGUGGAAAAGAUGGGGUGCGGAUGGGUGCUGACUGUGGUCUGGAACCACCUUCAUGUGCCUCCAAAAUUGAUCUAAUCCAGUUCCGACAGUGGUUCCUAUUCUAUUUUUAAUGGCCUCCUGUCAUUGCUUAUUAAAUUGA